This 275-nucleotide ribosomal RNA is filed under the name uncultured bacterium. RNAcentral describes it as "partial 16S ribosomal RNA". It matches the Rfam family "Bacterial small subunit ribosomal RNA", at positions 79 to 353 of the family's 1533-position model. The record is from RNAcentral.
CUAAGUUUGAUGGCGACCGGCGCACGGGUGAGUAACACGUAUCCAACCUGCCGAUGACUCGGGGAUAGCCUUUCGAAAGAAAGAUUAAUACCCGAUGGCAUAGUUCUUCCGCAUGGUAGAACUAUUAAAGAAUUUCGGUCAUCGAUGGGGAUGCGUUCCACUAGGUUGUUGGCGGGGUAACGGCCCACCAAGCCUUCGAUGGAUAGGGGUUCUGAGAGGAAGGUCCCCCACAUUGGAACUGAGGCACGGUCCAAACUCCUACGGGAGGCAGCAUG